Long non-coding RNA from Malus domestica (apple), 594 nucleotides. RefSeq lists it as uncharacterized. The record is from RefSeq and is a predicted model, not a curated record. NCBI's taxonomy places the organism in Eukaryota, Viridiplantae, Streptophyta, Magnoliopsida, Rosales, Rosaceae.
UUUGUUGGAUCACUUACAUAUAAAGUUUUUCUUUGGACUUUGUUCCCCAUCACCUGCCAAUAUCAGUGCCAGAGAUGGAUCCACCGCCACCACAGCCAACCACGCCGCUGCUAGCCCCCGCUCCUCCUCCUUAUCACCAAGCAGGAUGCUUGGAUUUAUGUUUGUGGAUUUUGUGCUGCUGCGGUAUAUUUAAAUGUUGUUGCCCUCCACUGUUUGAGCCUGGGCCUCCUCCACCACCAUAGUGCUACCUUUUCUUAUGAGCCUACUUUAUUGGGUGUCGAAGAGAGGACACAAUAAGUAUUGCAUCAAUAGUCUUUGGAUUCCUGGUAAUCCUAGAACGACUCGAAAUCCUGCUGUUUUAGAUUCCUUGUUACUACUUCUGUAUAACCGAAGUCGAAUUAGUAUUUGUAUCAAUAGACUGUAUAAAUACCAAGGCUGCGCCACCCUAUAUUUACAGAGUAGAAAUGUUUAUCUUUUAGGUUGAUGUUAAAUAUAAAGUGGUUUAGCAGUUUUAUUUUGUUUCAAUUUGUUUGUUAGUGCUGCGUGUGGCACACAAUUUCUAAUAAAUAAAAGAUAGUCAUGGAGUUUGAGGAA